This 72-nucleotide transfer RNA is filed under the name Ovis aries (sheep). It matches the Rfam family "tRNA". From Rfam's summary of the family: Transfer RNA (tRNA) molecules are approximately 80 nucleotides in length. The record is from Rfam by way of RNAcentral. Lineage: Eukaryota; Metazoa; Chordata; Mammalia; Artiodactyla; Bovidae.
UCCCUGGUGGCUCAGAUGGUAAAGCAUCUGUCUACAAUGCAGAAGACCCAGGUUCGAUCCCUGGGUUGGGAA